RNAcentral lists this ribosomal RNA (498 nucleotides) under uncultured bacterium. RNAcentral describes it as "partial 16S ribosomal RNA". It matches the Rfam family "Bacterial small subunit ribosomal RNA", at positions 29 to 507 of the family's 1533-position model. The record is from RNAcentral.
ACGCACGCUGGCGGCGUGCCUAAUACCUGCAAGUCGAGCGAAGUUUUUCUGGUGCUUGCACUAGAAAAACUUAGCGGCGAACGGGUGAGUAACACGUAAAGAACCUGCCUCAUAGACUGGGACAACUAUUGGAAACGAUAGCUAAUACCGGAUAACAGUAUUUCUCGCAUGAGAGAUAUUUAAAAGUUGGUUAUGCUAACACUAUGAGAUGGCUUUGCGGUGCAUUAGCUAGUUGGUGGGGUAAAGGCCCACCAAGGCGACGAUGCAUAGCCGACCUGAGAGGGUGAUCGGCCACACUGGGACUGAGACACGGCCCAGACUCCUACGGGAGGCAGCAGUAGGGAAUCUUCCGCAAUGGGCGAAAGCCUGACGGAGCAACGCCGCGUGAGUGAAGAAGGAUUUCGGUUCGUAAAGCUCUGUUGUUAGGGAAGAAUGGAUAUGUAGUAACUAUACAUGUAAGAGACGGUACCUAACCAGAAAGCCACGGCUAACUACGUG